GACGAACGCUGGCGGCGUGCUUAACACAUGCAAGUCGAACGGAAAGGCCCUGCUUUUGUGGGGUGCUCGAGUGGCGAACGGGUGGGUAACACGUGAGUAACCUGCCCUUGACUUUGGGAUAACUUCAGGAAACUGGGGCUAAUACCGGAUAGGAGCUCCUGCUGCAUGGUGGGGGUUGGAAAGUUUCGGCGGUUGGGGAUGGACUCGCGGCUUAUCAGCUGGUUGGUGGGGUAGUGGCUUACCAAGGCUUUGACGGGUAGCCGGCCUGAGAGGGUGACCGGCCACAUUGGGACUGAGAUACGGCCCAGACUCCUACGGGAGGCAGCAGUGGGGAAUAUUGCACAAUGGGCGGAAGCCUGAUGCAGCAACGCCGCGUGCGGGAUGACGGCCUUCGGGUUGUAAACCGCUUUCGCCUGUGACGAAGCGUGAGUGACGGUAAUGGGUAAAGAAGCACCGGCUAACUACGUG
Molecule: ribosomal RNA, 468 nt
Filed under: uncultured bacterium
Lineage: Bacteria
Description: partial 16S ribosomal RNA
Rfam family: Bacterial small subunit ribosomal RNA
Source: RNAcentral